UGGGGAAUAUUGCACAAUGGGCGCAAGCCUGAUGCAGCAACGCCGCGUGAACGAUGAAGGUCUUCGGAUCGUAAAGUUCUGUUGCAGGGGAAGAUAAUGACGGUACCCUGUGAGGAAGCCCCGGCUAACUACGUGCCAGCAGCCGCGGUAAUACGUAGGGGGCUAGCGUUAUCCGGAUUUACUGGGCGUAAAGGGUGCGUAGGUGGUCUUUCAAGUCGGUGGUUAAAGGCUACGGCUCAACCGUAGUUAGCCUCCGAAACUGGAAGACUUGAGUGCAGGAGAGGAAAGUGGAAUUUUUAGUGUAGCGGUGAAAUGCGUAGAUAUUAAAAAGAAUACCGGUGGCGAAGGCGACUUGCUGGGCACAAUCUGACGCUGAGGAACGAAAGCGUGGGGAGCAAACAGG
Molecule: ribosomal RNA, 403 nt
Filed under: Verrucomicrobiota bacterium
Lineage: Bacteria; Pseudomonadati; Verrucomicrobiota
Description: Verrucomicrobia bacterium partial 16S ribosomal RNA
Rfam family: Bacterial small subunit ribosomal RNA
Source: RNAcentral